RNAcentral lists this transfer RNA (28 nucleotides) under Craugastor longirostris (long-snouted whistling frog). RNAcentral describes it as "partial tRNA-Met". Lineage: Eukaryota; Metazoa; Chordata; Amphibia; Anura; Craugastoridae. The record is from RNAcentral.
ACAUGACGGUUAACCCCCUCCUUUGCGA